UGUGUGGGUAUGUUUGGUGGUGAGGAUGGGGUUGGCUGUAAUGGGAUGGAGCCCGAGGCCUGAACCAAGUCCCUGACUGAGCUGUCUCUACUUCUUCCUUCUUCUUCUUUCCAAAUGUUCCCCCAGUCCCACUUUGGAUAGCCUGAGUGGUUGAUUUGAUUGCAGAGUAACUCAUGAUCUUGUUGGAUUUGAGUCCUUCCUCGACCAUACUUCCCUGAACCUUUCAUGGAUCCUUCAUUAUCUUGUUGGAUUUGAGUCUUUCGUCGACCAUACUUCCC
This 278-nucleotide long non-coding RNA is filed under the name Nicotiana benthamiana. RNAcentral describes it as "long non-coding RNA (NBEN_LNC009228)". Lineage: Eukaryota; Viridiplantae; Streptophyta; Magnoliopsida; Solanales; Solanaceae. The record is from RNAcentral.